RNAcentral lists this unclassified non-coding RNA (209 nucleotides) under uncultured fungus. RNAcentral's name for it is "sequence contains 18S rRNA gene, ITS1, 5.8S rRNA gene, ITS2". Lineage: Eukaryota; Fungi. The record is from RNAcentral.
ACAAUAUUAACAAACAGAGUUUUAGGUCCUCUGGCGGGCACUGACCAGCAGAAGCCGGUGGUCCGAGGACGGGCCCGCCAAAGCAACAAAGGUAUAAUAAACAAAGGGUGGGAGGUAUACCCCGAAGGGCAACGUCUCUUUAAUGAUCCUUCCGCAGGUUCACCUACGGAAACCUUGUUACGACUUUUACUUCCUCUAAAUGACCAAGA